GGAAAGUCGCACGGUACAGGGUGAUAGUCCCGUACACAAAAAUGCAUAUGUUGUGAGUUCGAUGAGUAGGGCGGGACACGUGACAUCCUGUCUGAAUAUGGGGGGACCAUCCUCCAAGGCUAAAUACUCCUGACUGACCGAUAGUGAACCAGUACCGUGAGGGAAAGGCGAAAAGAACCCCGGCGAGGGGAGUGAAAUAGAACCUGAAACCGUGUACGUACAAGCAGUGGGAGCACCUUCGUGGUGUGACUGCGUACCUUUUGUAUAAUGGGUCAGCGACUUAUAUUUUGUAGCAAGGUUAACCGAAUAGGGGAGCCGUAGGGAAACCGAGUCUUAACUGGGCGAAUAGUUGCAAGGUAUAGACCCGAAACCCGGUGAUCUAGCCAUGGGCAGGUUGAAGGUUGGGUAACACUAACUGGAGGACCGAACCGACUAAUGUUGAAAAAUUAGCGGAUGACUUGUGGCUGGGGGUGAAAGGCCAAUCAAACCGGGAGAUAGCUGGUUCUCCCCGAAAGCUAUUUAGGUAGCGCCUCGUGAACUCAUCUUCGGGGGUAGAGCACUGUUUCGGCUAGGGGGUCAUCCCGACUUACCAAACCGAUGCAAACUCCGAAUACCGAAGAAUGUUAUCACGGGAGACACACGGCGGGUGCUAACGUCCGUCGUGAAGAGGGAAACAACCCAGACCGCCAGCUAAGGUCCCAAAGUCAUGGUUAAGUGGGAAACGAUGUGGGAAGGCAUAGACAGCCAGGAUGUUGGCUUAGAAGCAGCCAUCAUUUAAAGAAAGCGUAAUAGCUCACUGGUCGAGUCGGCCUGCGCGGAAGAUGUAACGGGGCUAAACCAUGC
Molecule: ribosomal RNA, 843 nt
Filed under: Yersinia enterocolitica
Lineage: Bacteria; Pseudomonadati; Pseudomonadota; Gammaproteobacteria; Enterobacterales; Yersiniaceae
Description: partial 23S ribosomal RNA
Rfam family: Bacterial large subunit ribosomal RNA
Source: RNAcentral